GCCCGGUUAGCUCAGUGUUAGAGCAUCAGACUCUUAAUCUGAUGGCCAUUGGUUCGAGUCCCAUAUCGGGCU
Molecule: transfer RNA, 72 nt
Filed under: Dendronephthya gigantea
Lineage: Eukaryota; Metazoa; Cnidaria; Anthozoa; Malacalcyonacea; Nephtheidae
Description: tRNA-Lys
Rfam family: tRNA
About the family: Transfer RNA (tRNA) molecules are approximately 80 nucleotides in length. Their secondary structure includes four short double-helical elements and three loops (D, anti-codon, and T loops).
Source: RNAcentral